Molecule: ribosomal RNA, 93 nt
Filed under: Brucella intermedia
Lineage: Bacteria; Pseudomonadati; Pseudomonadota; Alphaproteobacteria; Hyphomicrobiales; Brucellaceae
Description: partial 16S ribosomal RNA
Rfam family: Bacterial small subunit ribosomal RNA
Source: RNAcentral
GGCAGGCGACCACGGUAGGGUCAGCGACUGGGGUGAAGUCGUAACAAGGUAGCCGUAGGGGAACCUGCGGCUGGAUCACCUCCUUUCUAAGGA